UGUGCAAAGAAGCCGAACAAAUAUGAAUAAUGGUAGAAUUGAUUCCUCCAGUUUGAUUGGUUCAUACACUUCGACUUUACAGUAACCAUAACAAUCUGAGAGUUAGCGUGAAGACUGGUGUUUCAAUUUCGCAUUAUGUUUCCUUCGGUUCAAUUGUACAGAUCUUAGACCUCCGCUCAUUAUAGCUAAGUAUUCAAUGUUCUUAGGAAAUCAUUAAUUUAUAUGAUAGUUUUUUGUUCACAUUUAUCUUUGUAAAAGUCAGUUGUGUAGUUCUUCAUACCAUGAAUUCAUUUUGUAGGAUACGAUAUAUGCCAAUGAUGGAUUCCUUUUUUCAAUCCAAUUAUUGGAUUGGCAUAUUUUGAUUUCGUUUUCUUCAUCAUCUUUGAUUGUAAUUUCCUAAUAUUUGGUUGUAUUCUUGCAGAUUUUUGUUAUGCAUAUUGAGAAUAGAGCAACCAUCUAUCUCAGUUACGAAAUUGGAGUAAGAGAUUACCUAAAACAUUCGGUUUUGAUGGCGUUGGAACCUGAUCAAAAGCAGGUGAGGGAUAUCUAGAAUACAUGGCACGGACAACUUUGCCUGCGUAAGUAGUGGUCCAGAUUUACUCUCCCAAGAGAUAAAUCUACGGUAAUGGUGCAGAUGUCUUUUGUAUUUUGAAUCCUAUGGCUCAAAAGAGAGUGUAAACAUGCUCUAAACUUCUGUUCACACACUUAACUCAAAGGUGAUGUUUCACUCCCUCUUUGGAACAAACGAAAAUCAGUAACAACAUGGGGAAGGAGAGAUAGAGGAAGAAAUAGGAGGAGAAAAUCCCUCUCGAGUUUAUCCAAUACACUGUGUAAAUCUGGAAAAGUCAAUUUUAGAUCUCCGAUUGAAGAACCCAUGUCUACAUCUGAAACAAUAAGUCAUUUACUAUCGUUUUUCCACAGAAGUUGUUCGCAAUAUAGCCUAUUUCGUUUAAGCCUGUACAUCAUGUAUUUUUGAGAAGGUUAUUGACGUGCUUAGUAAAAUGAUGCAGUGGGGAUUCCCAUUUGAUGUUAUCUUUCUUGCUAUCAUCUAUGGUAUGUGAAAUAGGAAAGGAAUCAAACAAGGGGUUCUCAUGUAAGAAAGUUCUUCUUUUUGAAGAAAAUGGCAGGAUUGAUGUUGUCCAGCUGGAAGUUUUUUGCUUUGCAAUAAAAAUUGAAGUUAAGAUAACACACUUAUAACAGUUAAACAAGACUCUUUACUGUUUUCCAAGGAGAUUAAAUUUUAAUUUGUUACAGUAAAAAGGGAGUUAGGAAAAUGAAGAAAAAGUUCGCUAAUGAACCAGAUGUGAAAAACCUUGACUAAAAAUGCUUAGUUCAAUGAGAUUGGUUAGUUUCGAUGAUAACAUUUUCAUGAUUCAAAGUUGCAGCUGCUAAUUUUUUUUCUUUUAAAUGUAUGACUCAUGGUACAAAUUGAAGCAGGACAUGGUACUCUAGGUGAAUCUGAAGCAUCGUUUAGAUGAUGGCGGCUCAAAUUAAUUACACACGGCUAUAAAGUAUGUACAUCCACACGUCGAGAUAUAGGAGUCGCACCAAAUCAGCUUUCUUAAUUACAGCGAAUAACCUACCUUUGGGAUGUCAAGAUCAUAAAAGAUUGCAUGGUGAGGAACCUAAUUAGAUACCUCAUGUGGAGCAGAAUGUGUUCUCAUACUAGGUUGUUCACUGCUGAUUCAGUAAGCAUCUAGAGGGUAGCGACGAUGGUUUAUCAUUCGUUGACAAGUACGAUAGUUGGUUUUGAUACAGAAGUUUUUAUAUUUUUUGAGAUCUCAAUUAUAUUUAGCUCCCCCAUUUGACAAUCCGAAUUUUUUUAUUUGGUUCUUUUUUUCUUUUUCUUUAUUGCCAUAAUGAAAAGUUGCACAUUUGUUAUAUUGUUUUUCA
Papaver somniferum (opium poppy) is the source of this 1893-nucleotide long non-coding RNA. RefSeq lists it as uncharacterized. NCBI's taxonomy places the organism in Eukaryota, Viridiplantae, Streptophyta, Magnoliopsida, Ranunculales, Papaveraceae. The transcript is spliced from 6 exons. The record is from RefSeq and is a predicted model, not a curated record.